GCCAACACGGAUUGUAUUUGCGGUGGUAUUGAUCAUCAUAUUAUAAUGCUCUCACUUAGCUUUCUCUCACGCUGUUGAGGCCAUACUCAACCUUAUCACUGGGUUCUGGAUAGUUGUAGACUUAACCCCACCUCCAGGAUUUAAUGCCAUCUCAAGCACAGCAUUUGGCUCUGUCUCCAUAUGCAUGCUAUCUCCAUUUACACAGCUAUUAUCCAACUGAAGUUCGGAAUCUGCCUCACACGAAUCAACAACAGAUGUUCCCGGAUUGUUACUUUCAUCAGCACUUCCUUCUAUGCUCCCAGCAUUGCCUUCACU
Molecule: unclassified non-coding RNA, 315 nt
Filed under: Hevea brasiliensis (rubber tree)
Lineage: Eukaryota; Viridiplantae; Streptophyta; Magnoliopsida; Malpighiales; Euphorbiaceae
Source: RNAcentral